GCAGUUCCGUUUCUCCAAUGGCGUCAUGUAUAUAAAGGGACCAUGACGUCAUCCGCGCACAAUUGUUUCUCGGCGUAGCGUAGUGCGGACGUUUGUGUAGUGCGGUGCAACCAAGUUCUACAAAAAUUCCAUUGGGCGUUGUGCCUAAUCGGAUACAGUCCCAUUGCGUUUCGCGUGGGCCUGCAUCCGAUGGCCGCCAUCUUGGUUGCCGCGGGGGCGUGCUCGGAGCUAACUACGAUGUGGGUUUGUAAACGGUAUCAUGCAUUUUAAUUAGUUUUAUAAAUCGUAUAAUUUUAUUGUUGAAUUGUUAGUAAUUUAUUUCAGUUAGCUAUUUUAAAUGGUCGAUUGGAAUUUAAAAUUUUAUUCAUAUUGAAUAAGAAAAUUGUAACUUAUAUUUAAGUCAGAAUGAAAUAAAUGAAUUUAAAACAUAUGAUCAGAAUUUAAUUUCAAUCUCUCUUUUUGUAUUUUUGAAAUUUCACCCAACAUGUAUUAUUCCAUGAGUCAUCGCCGACCGCGCGGACAACAUGGCGGUCGAGAUCCUGACGACUACCUGCGUAGAUUAUAGAACGCUGAGUUGGGAGUUGUGCAUCUCUGCGCUUGCUGCCUUACGAGGCUGCGUAGAACAACCCUGCUUCACACGCUAAUCGAUCUGGUCCGGUACACAGCCCAUAUAGGUAAACGUUAGGUUGCGCAAUAAUAUCCUAACUUGCAUACCUAAUGUCCCGCAAAGGACAUUUUGUUUUGUUGUAUUUCGAGUACAGAUACGAGACCGUAUGCUGGCGAAAUCCGAGCUCGCAGUCGCAGCCAACAACCGGUGAUGCGUAUAGCUUGGAACGCACAAUGAAACGAAAUAUUCGUAAGAUUCCGAUGUAUUUGUAAGAUUUGAUAAUAGGGUGAGUUCCCAUAUAUCUGACAGAUAAUUAGUGGAAGAACUUAAUGUCUUUGAUAGGGCGUGUUGUGUUUCUUUGACCUUUAAACCCAAACAGGCAUUUAGCAUCUGCACAUUACUUCAAACUAGAACAGUGAGAUACUCCACGACACCAAAUAAUUGUUUGCUAGCAGACAAACAUUUUACUGGCUGUUAUAAUCGAAGUCACAAUCUGAAAUUACAAAGGACCAAGGUUUUUAACAAGCAAAAAUGGGCUGAUGUAUCUUUUCACGUGCAACCAAAUAAACAUAAAUCUAUUACGAUACCAGAUAACUUCAUACAAAAUAGUAUUAUACUCCGAACUAUAUCGAAACCAAAAGUAAAUUAAGUAAAGGGAAGCCGAGAGACACUUUAUCAAUGCUUGUCGCCUGGGCGUCGUGGUGAUGCAAGAUCGUUGUAAAACACGUUAUUAUGAGCUCAAUGUGGUGGACCUUCAGGAAGAAGGAAACACUGCUGCUAAAAUCGAUGUCACCACGUCCCACAAAGCAGAUGAGUUGAUCUCUCGCUAACGUAGGCAAAUUCGUGGACACUUGAAUUUAAUGAGAUUUAUUUAAUUAAAUAUCAAAGAUAAAUGAGAACUUUAACAUAGAUGUAGGUAAGUGAAAUAAUUCCAAUGUUGGAAUCAUUUAUACACUUCAAUAAAAUAACACUGAAUCGAUUUAAAAAAAUAUUUAACAAUAGGAUGUAGUGAUGUGUCAAACUUAAGAAUAUUCUUUUUCAAUACCUACUUAAAAUCUGCCGUAUGUACACGGCACGGUAGGGUUAACAGUAUGCCAGUUUUAUUUCAGGUUCACAUGCAUAGCUACCUAAAAUUAUGGUGUAUCAUCACAAUUCAUUUGUAUGAGAUAUACAUGCGUUUAACAGAAUCAUCAAUCACCAUCUUCAAUCAAAUGAGAAUUGACCAAAUAAUAUACAUAGAUUGAUUAUUAGAAAGACAAAAUAUCCGUUGAACAAAUUCGGAUCCCAAUGGAAAUUAUUAUAUAACAUGGAAAAUUGCUUCACCUAAUCAUAUGUUCCUACUUCAUUACGACAACGACACCUAUCAUAUGCAAUGCAAGUAAUCACCAGACGGAGAUUGUACCUCUUCGCGUUGGUGUAAAUUGCUGCUUUAGAUAAUUAAAACUGCAAAAUAAAGGUUAAACCACAUUGAAUGGUGACACAUUUGGAUGAGUUAUGCAACUACGCGCUGCGAGAGCUUGGUUGAAAGAGAAUUACGUUAUGAGCGAUUGCACAAGUAUGUACGACGUAAUAAUCGUAACCAAGGUUUGAUAGUAUUAAAAUUUAAUUUCAUAAGGUUGUGAUCUAAUUUCGUUCAUACGUGCCAGCUGUAGUCAUAUUAUCUGUUAGCUGAAAAGUGUGCAAUUAUAUUUUGGUUAUAAACAGUUAAUGCAUGAACGGUUAGGCACUUUAUUACACUAGUAGACAAUUCUUUGAAUUUUUUAUAAUACAUACAUACAUAUAUAAUUAACAACGAUAAUGACAGUUAACUGUCGGUAAUAUAAUCGGCGUGAAAACGCCUUGUAUGCACUGCCAUUGUUUAGGCUGCUGAUAAUCCUGAGCGUCUGGCAUCUUUUGGUGCUUUGCUGGUUUGGCGAAGGUGGCAGGCUUAAAGGCAAAGUUCUGAAAGCACAUAGCAAGUGGAAUGUUCAAUUGUUCUCGAAGAUCAAGUGAUACGGUCCUGUCUGCUACGUAUGCACGUUUGCUUGACAAUUAUCAUCCCUUGCUGGCGUCAGCGGUGUUCGGUUGCAGUGCUUGAUCUCUGUUUUUAAGGGUUUGUACUCGCUAAGUAGCCGUGCAUUCGAAGUCAAAUAAACAAGCUUUCGUCUAACAAAUUAAGACUUAUGUAGGUACAAAUUAAUAGUCAACAAGUAUUAUAAAAAUACAUUUCUUUUUUAGAUCGAAAUGAAAUGUGUUCUCGUAAUAAUUAAUGAAAAAAGCAAUUUUCAUUUUUUUCUCGAACCUUCUUACAAUUCCAUAAGUACAAUGUUGUUUGUAGUUAGUAUGUCAAUCCUAUGUAGUCCUUAUUUUUAGGAAUGUUAGGAUAAUUGCCGUUUCUUACAGGCCUAAUAAUUUCCUAGUAAAACAUCUCAUAACUUUAAAUUAAUUUUAUUUGAACUCUUGUACUUGAAACAAAUGUACAACGCUGGUUGCGUAAACCUACAUAAAAUUACAAAAAAAUAUGAGCGAUAUUUAAUUAAACUUGGAGAAUACAUGAACUGGGUGGCGCACCUACAUAAAAUAACAUAAAUAUGAGGGAUAUUUAAACUUGAAGAAAGAAAUUGAAUAAAGAGGAAAAUACAAACAACGCUUAUCAACAAUUAUUGAGGAUGGACUUUUUUCCAUGACAUAUUUGUCACGUAAGUAAAAUUCUAAGCAAAACGAUCAUCAAAAUUGGUUUUAUAGUUGGAGAAUAUAUAUAAAAUUUCAUAAAUAUUACUUGGAUACCUAUUUCGGCAUUUAUAUAUGUGUCCUCCAGAAAUACACCAAAAUUAUGGUAUAUUUAAUAGAUUUUAUAAUCAAAUGGUACACUCGAAAAAAAGAAAUUUCUUAAGCAUAGAUGGACGUCAGGUGUGCGAGUCUAACUCGCACCUAACUGGUUUUUAUUUUUUCACAAGUCUAGGGGCUGUCGUUGAAAGAGUUCCCGCUGCUGAGCGCAUUAUUAAUUAUGCAAUAGGUCAACCUUGCAACAAGAGCGCACCUACCUACCAAGAAUGCACCACAAAUUUAAAAUCUAGGUAUCUAACUACCUACGCCAAAAGUACCUUGUAUACUAUAUAAAUGUGGAAUGACACUAUAUUUGCACGUAAAACAAUGUAAUGAGACCAUCUUUUUUACCUUGAUUUGCGACUCUCUCGAUCUCCUGGCUUUCCGGAUAUCCAAGAUUGGCUUUAAGACUAUAUAAUUCAGACAUGUUCUUCAUAAGAACAGAUAUCAUUGAGAAAACUAUAUUAUAGGUAGCUAGUAAAAAGUACUCAUAACCAUUCAAGGAAUGAUGCGUAUAUAUUAGAUGAUAUUUAUAAAAUACUAUAAUAUCUUUAAAUUGAUGGCGGUUACCUCGUGCUAGAUACCACUGAAACACCAUGUAUAAUAUGCGUAAAUUGUAUAUAAAAGGUAUACACCGUUAAAAAUUACGACAUUAAUCCUUUUUAUAUUUACAUUACAUGUACGCUAUUUAAUUUUAUUUAUAAAUAUACAUAUAUAUAUUUAUGUUCAAAUGAUUUUGGUUGUAAUUGUAAAGGUAUGUUUUUGUGCGAUACGUUUCUUUGGGCUUAUUCACAGAUACCCUACCGUCAUCGGCAUAUAUAGUAUAGUACUCGGCGUUUCUUGAUGUUCAUGGGCGUUGGUAGUGCUUAUCAUCAAGCGACCCUACAGCUCCUUUGCCGACUAUGACAUAAAACUUACUCUCCACUUUUAAGAUUUUCGCACUUAUUGCUACUCUUGCUUUAAUUUUGCUUUAGAAAUUUAUAUUCGAUAUUAAUUGUCUACUGUAAGUGAGGGCUGAGGGAGGCAGUUCAAUCUUAUUGUCGUGAUUACAUUCUAAAUUAUUUAAUAUGAUUUAUCUACUGAACCAAAACCAUAGUACACAAGAAUUCAAUUAUCAAUUGGUGGUGAGGGAUUGAACACCGUGCUCAACUGAGAUAGCUCCCACACUCGCCCACCCUGCUCUCCGCUGGAGGUGCGAGAUACAGCACCGCGCUCCACUCGGGUGGCUCCGGCGCUAUCGUCCACUCUGCUCAACGCCGGUGGUGCGGAUACGGUACCGCGCUCCACGCGGGUAGCUCCGGCGCUAUCUUCCACUCUGCUCUGCGCUGGUGGUGCGGAUACGGUACCGCGCUCCACGCGGGUGGCUCCGGCGCUAUCGUC
RNAcentral lists this long non-coding RNA (4792 nucleotides) under Zerene cesonia (dogface butterfly). Its description in RNAcentral is "uncharacterized LOC119828599, transcript variant X2". The record is from RNAcentral. Lineage: Eukaryota; Metazoa; Arthropoda; Insecta; Lepidoptera; Pieridae.